GUGAACGCUGGCGGCGUGCUUAACUCAUGCAAGUCGAACGGUAACAGGAAGUAGCUUGCUACUUUGCUGACGAGUGGCGCACAGGUGAGUAAUCUAUAGUUAAUGUGCCUCGAAGACUGGGAUAGCCACUGGAAACGGUGAUUAAUACUAGAUACACCUCUUUAACAUAAGCUGAGUAGGGAAACGUCUUUUCGCUUCGAGAUCAGACUAUAUCCUAUCAGUUAGUUGGUGAGGUAAUGGCUCACCAAGGCAAUGACGGGUAGCGGUUCUGAGAGGAUGAUCCGCCACACUGGUACUGAGACACGGACCAGACUCCUACGGGAGGCAGCAGUGAGGAAUAUUGCACAAUGGAGGGAACUCUGAUGCAGCAACGCCGCGUGGAGGAUGACGCAUUUCGGUGUGUAAACUCCUUUUAAGUGUGAAGAAAAUGACGGUAGCACAUGAAUAAGCACCGGCUAACUCCGU
Molecule: ribosomal RNA, 465 nt
Filed under: uncultured bacterium
Lineage: Bacteria
Description: bacterial SSU rRNA
Rfam family: Bacterial small subunit ribosomal RNA
Source: RNAcentral